This 300-nucleotide long non-coding RNA is filed under the name Bos taurus (domestic cattle). Its description in RNAcentral is "long non-coding RNA NONBTAT009003". Lineage: Eukaryota; Metazoa; Chordata; Mammalia; Artiodactyla; Bovidae. The record is from RNAcentral.
UAAAUCAUGAAAUCGCUUCAUUUGAAAGGUCAAAUUUAUAUUUGGAUUAAUAGCUCCCUAUUUUAGACAUGAUAAUCACUGCAUUGUAUAAUAUGUUAGCUUCCUGAUGCUUGCGGAUCUAAGCUGAGUUCUAGUGCUUAGAGCUUUACCCAAAGGUGUGCUUCCUCCUUUCCUGUUGGCAUGUUUCUGAACUUCUGUGUAAUGGGCCAGGUUACAAACGGGAUUUCUUUUCACCGGGCUGAAUCUGACCCCUGCUGUAGAUGUGAGACAUAGAGCUUAUAAGUGAAGAUACAGUGCCAG